AUUGAACGCUGGCGGCAUGCCUUACACAUGCAAGUCGAACGGCAGCACGGGAGCAAUCCUGGUGGCGAGUGGCGAACGGGUGAGUAAUAUAUCGGAACGUGCCCGGUCGUGGGGGAUAACCGUAGCGAAAGCUACGCUAAUACCGCAUACGAUCUACGGAUGAAAGCGGGGGAUCGCAAGACCUCGCGCGAUUGGAGCGGGCCGAUAUCAGAUUAGGUAGUUGGUGAGGUAAAGGCUCACCAAGCCGACGAUCUAGUAGCUGGUCUGAGAGGACGACCC
Molecule: ribosomal RNA, 279 nt
Filed under: uncultured bacterium
Lineage: Bacteria
Description: partial 16S ribosomal RNA
Rfam family: Bacterial small subunit ribosomal RNA
Source: RNAcentral